This 270-nucleotide ribosomal RNA is filed under the name uncultured archaeon. Its description in RNAcentral is "partial 16S ribosomal RNA". It matches the Rfam family "Archaeal small subunit ribosomal RNA", at positions 477 to 747 of the family's 1478-position model. The record is from RNAcentral.
CAGCACCUCAAGUGGUCAGGAUGAUUAUUGGGCCUAAAGCAUCCGUAGUCGGCUCUGUAAGUUUUCGGUUAAAUCUGUACGCUCAACGUACAGGCUGCCGGGAAUACUGCAGAGCUAGGGAGUGGGAGAGGUAGACGGUACUCGGUAGGAAGGGGUAAAAUCCUUUGAUCUAUUGAUGACCACCUGUGGCGAAGGCGGUCUACCAGAACACGUCCGACGGUGAGGGAUGAAAGCUGGGGGAGCAAACCGGAUUAGAUACCCGAGUAGUCC